RNAcentral lists this ribosomal RNA (1243 nucleotides) under metagenome. RNAcentral describes it as "bacterial LSU rRNA". It matches the Rfam family "Bacterial large subunit ribosomal RNA", at positions 1564 to 2817 of the family's 2925-position model. The record is from RNAcentral.
UGAAUACGAGACGCUAAGGCGUCGAAGUAGUGUAUGUCAUACUUCCAAGAAAAGCUUGCACUGUCAUAGAUAAAAAACGCCUGUACCAUAACCGACACAGGUGGGUAGGUAGAGUAUACUAAGGGGCGCGAGAUAACUCUCUCUAAGGAACUCGGCAAAAUAACUCCGUAACUUCGGGAGAAGGAGUGCCUUAUUCGUAAGGUUGCAAUAACAAGAUCCAAGCAACUGUUUAUCAAAAACACAGGUCUCCGCUAAGUCGUAAGACGAUGUAUGGGGGCUGACGCCUGCCCAGUGCCAGAAGGUUAAAGAAGUUGGUUAGCAAUUGCGAAGCUGAUAACUGAAGCCCUGGUGAACGGCGGCCGUAACUAUAACGGUCCUAAGGUAGCGAAAUUCCUUGUCGGGUAAGUUCCGACCCGCACGAAAGGCGUAAUGAUUUGGAUACUGUCUCGGAGAGGGGCUCGGUGAAAUAGACUUGUCUGUGAAGAUGCGGACUACCUGCACCAGGACAGGAAGACCCUAUGAAGCUUUACUGUAACUUGAAAUUGAAAUUGGACUUUAUUCGCGCAGUAUAGGUGGGAGGCGUUGAUUAUAAUCUUGUGGGAUUAUUGGAGCCAUCAGUGAGAUACCACUCUUGUAAUGUUAGAUUUCUAACUUUGAAUCAUUAUCUGGUCAAAGAACAGUUUCAGGCGGGCAGUUUGACUGGGGCGGUCGCCUCCUAAACGGUAACGGAGGCGUACAAAGGUUUCCUCUGAACGGUUAGAAAUCGUAUCUAGAGUGUAAAGGCAUAAGGAAGCUUGACUGUGAGACCUACAAGUCGAGCAGGGACGAAAGUCGGUCUUAGUGAUCUGACGGUACUGAGUGGAAAGGCCGUCACUCAACGGAUAAAAGUUACUCUAGGAUAACAGGCUGAUCUCCCCCAAGAGUUCACAUCGACGGGGAGGUUUGGCUCCUCGAUGUCGGCUCAUCGCAUCCUGGGGCGGUAGUACGUCCCAAGGGUUGGGCUGUUCGCCCAUGAAAGCGGUACGCGAGCUGGGUUCAGAACGUCGUGAGACAGUUCGGUCCAUAUCCGGUGUAGGCGUUAGAAUAUUGAGAGGAGCCUUCUUUAGUACGAGAGGACCGAGAAGGACAUACCUCUGGUGUACCAGUUAUCGUGCCAACGGUAAACGCUGGGUAGCUAUGUAUGGAGUGGAUAACCGCUGAAAGCAUCUAAGUGGGAAGCCCACCUCAAGAUAAGUAUUCUCAU